RNAcentral lists this ribosomal RNA (492 nucleotides) under uncultured bacterium. RNAcentral's name for it is "partial 16S ribosomal RNA". It matches the Rfam family "Bacterial small subunit ribosomal RNA", at positions 29 to 507 of the family's 1533-position model. The record is from RNAcentral.
AGUGAACGCUGGCGGUAGGCCUAACACAUGCAAGUCGAACGGCAGCACAGUAAGAGCUUGCUCUUACGGGUGGCGAGUGGCGGACGGGUGAGGAAUACAUCGGAAUCUACUUUUUCGCGGGGGAUAACGUAGGGAAACUUACGCUAAUACCGCAUACGACCUACGGGUGAAAGCAGGGGAUCCUCGGACCUUGCGCGAUUGAAUGAGCCGAUGUCGGAUUAGCUAGUUGGCGGGGUAAAGGCCCACCAAGGCGACGAUCCGUAGCUGGUCUGAGAGGAUGAUCAGCCACACUGGAACUGAGACACGGUCCAGACUCCUACGGGAGGCAGCAGUGGGGAAUAUUGGACAAUGGGCGCAAGCCUGAUCCAGCCAUACCGCGUGGGUGAAGAAGGCCUUCGGGUUGUAAAGCCCUUUUGUUGGGAAAGAAAAGCAGCAGGUUAAUACCCCGCUGUUCUGACGGUACCCAAAGAAUAAGCACCGGCUAACUUCGUG